Molecule: ribosomal RNA, 206 nt
Filed under: uncultured bacterium
Lineage: Bacteria
Description: partial 16S ribosomal RNA
Rfam family: Bacterial small subunit ribosomal RNA
Source: RNAcentral
CGCUCUGCAACUCGGGCGCAUGAAGGUGGAAUCGCUAGUAAUCGCAGAACAGCAGGCUGCGGUGAAUACGUUCCCGGGCCUUGUACACACCGCCCGUCACACCAUGGGAGUUGGUUUUACCUUAAGACGGUGCGCUAACCCGCAAGGGAGGCAGCCGGCCACGGUAAGGUCAGCGACUGGGGUGAAGUCGUAACAAGGUAACCGUA